GAAAAGAUUGUGACUAAUAAUUGCAAUUCAUGACGGUAUCAACAGAAGAAGCACCGGCUAACUACGUGCCAGCAGCCGCGGUAAUACGUAGGGUGCGAGCGUUAAUCGGAAUUACUGGGCGUAAAGGGUGCGCAGGCGGUUCUGUAAGUCAGAUGUGAAAUCCCCGGGCUUAACCUGGGAACUGCGUUUGAAACUACAGAGCUAGAGUGUGGCAGAGGGGGGUGGAAUUCCAUGUGUAGCAGUGAAAUGCGUAGAGAUAUGGAAGAACAUCGAUGGCGAAGGCAGCCCCCUGGGUCAACACUGACGCUCAUGCACGAAAGCGUGGGGAGCAAACAGGAUUAGAUACCCUGGUAGUCCACGCCCUAAACUAUGUCAACUAGUUGUCGGGCCUUAUUAGGUUUGGUAACGUAGCUAACGCGUGAAGUUGACCGCCUGGGGAGUACGGUCGCAAGAUUAAAAACUCAAAGGAAUUGACGGGGACCCGCACAAGC
RNAcentral lists this ribosomal RNA (491 nucleotides) under uncultured bacterium. RNAcentral describes it as "bacterial SSU rRNA". It matches the Rfam family "Bacterial small subunit ribosomal RNA", at positions 442 to 930 of the family's 1533-position model. The record is from RNAcentral.